UACGGAGGGUGCGAGCGUUGUCCGGAAUCACUGGGCGUAAAGGGCGCGUAGGCGGCUCAUGAAGGCUGUGGUGAAAGUCCGGGGCUCAACCUCGGAUCGGCCACUGAUACUGUUGGGCUUGAGCACUGUAGAGGCUAAUGGAAUUCCGGGUGUAGCGGUGGAAUGCGUAGAGAUCCAGAAGAACACCGGUGGCGAAGGCGGGUCUCUGGGCAAUAACUGACGCUGAGGAGCGAAAGCGUGGGGAGCGAACAGG
Molecule: ribosomal RNA, 253 nt
Filed under: uncultured bacterium
Lineage: Bacteria
Description: partial 16S ribosomal RNA
Rfam family: Bacterial small subunit ribosomal RNA
Source: RNAcentral